GAUGAACGCUGGCGGCGUGCCUAAUACAUGCAAGUCGAGCGAACGGACGAGAAGCUUGCUUCUCUGAUGUUAGCGGCGGACGGGUGAGUAACACGUGGAUAACCUACCUAUAAGACUGGGAUAACUUCGGGAAACCGGAGCUAAUACCGGAUAAUAUUUUGAACCGCAUGGUUCAAAAGUGAAAGACGGUCUUGCUGUCACUUAUAGAUGGAUCCGCGCUGCAUUAGCUAGUUGGUAAGGUAACGGCUUACCAAGGCAACGAUGCAUAGCCGACCUGAGAGGGUGAUCGGCCACACUGGAACUGAGACACGGUCCAGACUCCUACGGGAGGCAGCAGUAGGGAAUCUUCCGCAAUGGGCGAAAGCCUGACGGAGCAACGCCGCGUGAGUGAUGAAGGUCUUCGGAUCGUAAAACUCUGUUAUUAGGGAAGAACAUAUGUGUAAGUAACUGUGCACAUCUUGACGGUACCUAAUCAGAAAGCCACGGCUAACUACGUGCCAGCAGCCGCGGUAAUACGUAGGUGGCAAGCGUUAUCCGGAAUUAUUGGGCGUAAAGCGCGCGUAGGCGGUUUUUUAGUCUGAUGUGAAAGCCCACGGCUCAACCGUGGAGGGUCAUUGGAAACUGGAAAACUUGAGUGCAGAAGAGGAAAGUGGAAUUCCAUGUGUAGCGGUGAAAUGCGCAGAGAUAUGGAGGAACACCAGUGGCGAAGGCGACUUUCUGGUCUGUAACUGACGCUGAUGUGCGAAAGCGUGGGGAUCAAACAGGAUUAGAUACCCUGGUAGUCCACGCCGUAAACGAUGAGUGCUAAGUGUUAGGGGGUUUCCGCCCCUUAGUGCUGCAGCUAACGCAUUAAGCACUCCGCCUGGGGAGUACGACCGCAAGGUUGAAACUCAAAGGAAUUGACGGGGACCCGCACAAGCGGUGGAGCAUGUGGUUUAAUUCGAAGCAACGCGAAGAACCUUACCAAAUCUUGACAUCCUUUGACAACUCUAGAGAUAGAGCUUUCCCCUUCGGGGGACAAAGUGACAGGUGGUGCAUGGUUGUCGUCAGCUCGUGUCGUGAGAUGUUGGGUUAAGUCCCGCAACGAGCGCAACCCUUAAGCUUAGUUGCCAUCAUUAAGUUGGGCACUCUAAGUUGACUGCCGGUGACAAACCGGAGGAAGGUGGGGAUGACGUCAAAUCAUCAUGCCCCUUAUGAUUUGGGCUACACACGUGCUACAAUGGACAAUACAAAGGGCAGCGAAACCGUGAGGUCAAGCAAAUCCCAUAAAGUUGUCCUCAGUUCGGAUUGUAGUCUGCAACUCGACUACAUGAAGCUGGAAUCGCUAGUAAUCGUAGAUCAGCAUGCUACGGUGAAUACGUUCCCGGGUCU
Molecule: ribosomal RNA, 1371 nt
Filed under: uncultured bacterium
Lineage: Bacteria
Description: bacterial SSU rRNA
Rfam family: Bacterial small subunit ribosomal RNA
Source: RNAcentral